ACGCUCGACACCUACGGAGGCAGCAGUGGGGGAUAUUGCACAAUGGGGGAAACCCUGAUGCAGCAACGCCGCGUGAGGGAAGACGGUUUUCGGAUUGUAAACCUCUGUCAUCGGUGACGAUAAUGACGGUAGCCGAUGAGGAAGCUCCGGCUAACUACGUGCCAACAGCCGCGGUAAUCUGAGCGGGCUGGCAAGGC
This 197-nucleotide ribosomal RNA is filed under the name uncultured bacterium. RNAcentral describes it as "partial 16S ribosomal RNA". It matches the Rfam family "Bacterial small subunit ribosomal RNA", at positions 328 to 539 of the family's 1533-position model. The record is from RNAcentral.